RNAcentral lists this ribosomal RNA (301 nucleotides) under uncultured bacterium. Its description in RNAcentral is "partial 16S ribosomal RNA". It matches the Rfam family "Bacterial small subunit ribosomal RNA", at positions 509 to 809 of the family's 1533-position model. The record is from RNAcentral.
CAGCCGCCGCGGGAAUACGAAGGGUGCAAGCGUUACUCGGAAUUACUGGGCGUAAAGCGUGCGUAGGUGGUGGUUUAAGUCCGUUGUGAAAGCCCUGGGCUCAACCUGGGAAUUGCAGUGGAUACUGGGUCACUAGAGUGUGGUAGAGGAUAGUGGAAUUUCCGGUGUAGCAGUGAAAUGCGUAGAGAUCGGAAGGAACAUCUGUGGCGAAGGCGACUAUCUGGGCCAACACUGACACUGAGGCACGAAAGCGUGGGGAGCAAACAGGAUUAGAUACCCCAGUAGUCCCUGUCUCUUAUAA